Molecule: long non-coding RNA, 943 nt
Organism: Oryzias latipes (Japanese medaka)
Lineage: Eukaryota; Metazoa; Chordata; Actinopteri; Beloniformes; Adrianichthyidae
Source: RefSeq, a predicted model, not a curated record
UAUCAUGUUGGUGUUACGGUCACGUAACACGAAGACGGACGAAUAAAAGCAGCAGCACGAUUCACUAAAGCAGCCAAACAGACAAACACGUGUUCACUUUUUUUUUUGCACUUUAAAAAAGGUUGUUCAUGUUUAGCCUAUGUUGGACCUUUCCUGCGAGGACUUUUCUCUUUCUGACCGUGGUCGGAAAACGUUGGCGGAUCUUCCUUUCCUAAAGCUAAAUGCGUUCUUGAGUUUGCCACUCGGCCACUGGGGGGUUUUGUGUUGGGCAGGUGCCUGUAUUCUAGAACAUUGGCCAGAACAGCAAUGUUACUGUAACCUAACAGACUUGUUCUUUCUUUCAGAUUCUUGUCCAUCACAAACACAAGAACCUCGGAGAGCAGCUCCAGUGGAAGGUCCGGGCAGAUGAUAACUUCAGAACACCACAAUGAGGAGAUGACGGCAGCAGUGAAAGAUGUGCAACCAAAUUGGAGUUUCCACCAAGUUAGAAGUAAGCACAUGAAGUUGGAUUUACACAACUCGCCAUAAGUUAGAGAUAAUGUGAGAGACUCAAUGUCAAUAAUCAGUGUUACUUUCUUUUCAGAGAUUUUUUGAAUAGGAUUGCAAUUGUAUUAGUGUGAUAGACAGCUCAUUUAGUGUUUCCAUGUCUUAAGACCAAAUACUAAGUUACAAUAACGAUAUAGCAUUGACAAUGGAUAAUUAAGAUAAGCCACUGUGACAGUCUGCAUGGCACAUUUUGAAUAUUCCACUUUGGAAACAUGUUUGCAAUAUGUUGACCUCAUCUUCUGUACAUUUCAUAUUUCCAUCGACUAGGAGCUUGCAAUCAAGCUAUUGACAGUCUCAAGUGCAAAGAGAGAGAAUGGAGAUAGAAGCAAGGAGGACCAGUCAGCAUGAUCAGCUCUUCAAAAAGAGGGUCAAAAUUGCUGAGAAGAUUCUCAAUCAA